CUUUCUCUGGCUCCCUCGGCACUCGCCGUGUCUCCAAGCCGCUGAAUUGCAUCCCCGCGGGAGCAGGGGCGAGGGUCGCCUGCAGCCCGGCAUCCUCCUCUUGCCCUCUCUCACCUCCCUUCUCCCCGAGGAAGCUCCUUUGCUCCUUUUCUCCUCUGUCGGUCCUCAAGUGCAUCAGUAAUCCCUGCUGCGGCUGCUGCUGCGGCUGCACCUGGGAACGGCAGGAUCUGCAAGUUAUUUCUGCGCCGGUAAAGCCAUAAGUGAAGAGGAAAAGCCAUGUCCAGUACAGGAGAGCAACGUGCCAGGCUGGGUACCAGCCAGCAACUUUUUCCAUCGCUGCCGACUGCUGAUGAGUGCGAGGAGAAGGAGCAAGAAGGAGAGGGCAGAGCGAGAGAGCCGGGCGCUGCCGAUUCCGCCGCCGCGGAGUAAACACGGCGAGAACUCCACGGCAUUUCAGAAAACGAUUUACAGAUUUGUUCCACAUUCUUCUAGAGAUUUCACUCAAAUGCUCACUGGUGACACGUCUUGGGAUAUUAGCACAGCACCAGAGAGAAGACUGUGUAAUGAACGGAGACCAAGAAGAACACUGCUCCAUUGAUUCCUAUCAAGCCAUGGUGAGUGAUGAAUACUGUAGUUUGACAUUGCACAUAAUUCCCCCAAACAGAAUCUCUGUUAAAACAAACAAACAAAUCAGGAUACAACAGGUCUUGUUGCAGUUUCCCUUGGGGGGGAAAAAAUGACUUUCAGCUGUAAAUAUCACAAAAACUUGAGUGCUUGUUUUGUUUUGUUUUGUUUUGUUUUGUUUUGUUUUCUAAAUAAGGUUUGGAUGCUCCAUACUUUAAAUAAAAUAGGGACUAAUUAUAUAUAUAUAUAUAUA
This 877-nucleotide long non-coding RNA is filed under the name Zonotrichia albicollis (white-throated sparrow). Its description in RNAcentral is "lncRNA (ENSZALG00000004280.1)". Lineage: Eukaryota; Metazoa; Chordata; Aves; Passeriformes; Passerellidae. The record is from RNAcentral.